This is a small nuclear RNA of Pteronotus mesoamericanus, 107 nucleotides long. Lineage: Eukaryota; Metazoa; Chordata; Mammalia; Chiroptera; Mormoopidae. The record is from RefSeq and is a predicted model, not a curated record.
GUGCUUGCUUCAGCAGCACAUAUACUAAAAUUGGAAUGAUGCAGAGAAGAUUAGCAUGGCACCUGUACAAAGAUGACAUGCAAAUUUUUGAAUUAUUCCAUAUUUUG